RNAcentral lists this ribosomal RNA (305 nucleotides) under uncultured bacterium. Its description in RNAcentral is "bacterial SSU rRNA". It matches the Rfam family "Bacterial small subunit ribosomal RNA", at positions 497 to 799 of the family's 1533-position model. The record is from RNAcentral.
UGUCCUACGGGAGGCAGCAGCCGCGGUUAUACGUAGGUGGCAAGCGUUAUCCGGAUUUACUGGGUGUAAAGGGCGUGUAGGCGGGGACGCAAGUCAGAUGUGAAAACCACGGGCUCAACCUGUGGCCUGCAUUUGAAACUGUGUUUCUUGAGUACUGGAGAGGCAGACGGAAUUCCUAGUGUAGCGGUGAAAUGCGUAGAUAUUAGGAGGAACACCAGUGGCGAAGGCGGUCUGCUGGACAGCAACUGACGCUGAGGCGCGAAAGCGUGGGGAGCAAACAGGAUUAGAUACCCCUGUAGUCCAGA